AAACAAAACAUUUAGAAAUUUCUGUUUAAUUGUGAUGCACUAUACAAUAAAGUGAGCUGCAAACCUUAGCGCACUGAUAUCCACUAAUGUAACACGCCAGACUGAAACACCACUAACACCAACCAACUUCUAGCGCCCCCACACGCAAGCGUGUGAGUGGUUUCAGCUUGUAGCAUGUUUAUAGUGUAUGGCUGGUGUGGUUAGUUUCAGUUGAUUGCGUGUGUUCUAGGGUUGUCAUUUUUGUAGGUCUUCUGUGAUUUUGGCCGGGCUGCUGGCGGUUGUGGAGUGCGACGUCUUCGCGACUCGAUUUCAUACGGCACGGUUCAGCGCCACUCAUUGCGUUGCUAACGCCGGCUCGACUCUUCGUUCUGUGAGCGCCGCUAUGUCGGAAGGACGAAGGGAUGAGACUUUGAACGGUGAACCUGAACCAGUCAACAACGUACCCACGCUGACGGACCAGUUGAACAAGCGGUUGCUGCAAUCGUUUCUCCAACGAUUGAAUGAGACGUGCGAAGCGCCAACAGUGCCCCAGGUGGAGUCUGCUGCGCCUGAUGAUUUUAAUGACUCCUAAUGCCCACAUCAUGUAGGAAGCCCUGUCUCAAGGAGCAUUUCGGCACCGGAAGUACCCCUCCAGAGACUUGGCAUACUGCACUUCGCGUGAACAUUAUGCAGAUAAAGUGACCUUAUAUAACGCAACGCCCCUUAGCAUGGGGCGUGGCCGCGCUGCACUGUGCACGCGUCAAAUAAGACCGAUGCAGCCAUUUUUUCUUUUGUAGCAAGCUUUAAUAAAAACAGACUUGAGAAAGCAUA
Molecule: long non-coding RNA, 810 nt
Filed under: Dermacentor andersoni
Lineage: Eukaryota; Metazoa; Arthropoda; Arachnida; Ixodida; Ixodidae
Description: uncharacterized LOC126546167
Source: RNAcentral